UACGUAGGGUGCGAGCGUUAAUCGGAAUUACUGGGCGUAAAGCGUGCGCAGGCGGUUCGUUAAGUCAGAUGUGAAAGCCCGGGCUCAACCUGGGAACUGCAUUUGAAACUGGCGGGCUUGAGUGUGGCAGAGGGGGGUGGAAUUCCGCGUGUAGCAGUGAAAUGCGUAGAGAUGCGGAGGAACACCGAUGGCGAAGGCAGCCCCCUGGGCCAACACUGACGCUCAGGCACGAAAGCGUGGGGAGCAAACAGG
This 252-nucleotide ribosomal RNA is filed under the name uncultured bacterium. RNAcentral's name for it is "partial 16S ribosomal RNA". It matches the Rfam family "Bacterial small subunit ribosomal RNA", at positions 524 to 776 of the family's 1533-position model. The record is from RNAcentral.